This 136-nucleotide small nuclear RNA is filed under the name Cervus hanglu yarkandensis (Yarkand deer). Its description in RNAcentral is "U1 spliceosomal RNA (ENSCHYG00000015420.1)". It matches the Rfam family "U1 spliceosomal RNA", at positions 26 to 166 of the family's 166-position model. Rfam says of the family: U1 is a small nuclear RNA (snRNA) component of the spliceosome (involved in pre-mRNA splicing). Its 5' end forms complementary base pairs with the 5' splice junction, thus defining the 5' donor site of an intron. The record is from RNAcentral. Lineage: Eukaryota; Metazoa; Chordata; Mammalia; Artiodactyla; Cervidae.
CUGAUUACAGGGUGAUUUUCCCAGGGCAAGUCUCAUCCAUUGAACUGAAGGUGUAUGGAUUCCUAUGAUUUCCCCAAACGUGGGAAACUUGAACACAUAGCUUGUGGCAGCUGGGGAUAGUAUUUGCACUCCCCGC